This is a long non-coding RNA of Tachysurus fulvidraco (yellow catfish), 1134 nucleotides long. RefSeq lists it as uncharacterized. Lineage: Eukaryota; Metazoa; Chordata; Actinopteri; Siluriformes; Bagridae. The record is from RefSeq and is a predicted model, not a curated record. The transcript is spliced from 3 exons.
CUUAACAGACAAGCUAUACCUCCCAACAAAAUUAUGGAUUGUUUUUGUAAUAUUCACGAAUGUUAACACACAACAUCCCACAAUAGCAAAAACAAUAUUCCAAACCUUAGAUACAGUAUAAAAACCUCUGCUUCUGCAAUGAUAUCAGUUCAAAUUAUUCGCAUCUUUCAACAAACCAACAGAAUGCAACAUCUUCCACCCUCUGGGGGAAGAGGAAAGAUCCUCAAUAAUGAUCAAGAGCGUGCCAUUGUAGAAAUGGUUGUUGCAAAUAAUGCAAUAAAACUGCAUGAAAUUAAAACUAGAAUUGUGGAGGACCAUGAGAUAUUUGGCAAUAUAGAAAGCAUCAGCCUCAAAACCAUUAGACGGACAUUGUCCAAACACAGAGUGCGGACGAAGCAGCUCUACACUGUUCCCUUUGAGAGGAACAGUGAGAGAGUCAAGGAGCUACGACGACAAUAUGUCCAGAUGAGGCCGGAUUCAAUCUAUCCAAAAGGCGUCGACGUGGACGAAAUAUAAUUGGAAAAAGGGCCACAGUUGAUGUGCCAGGACAGAGAGGGGCAGACAUUACCAUGUGUGCAGCCAUGGCAAAUGCAGGAUUACUCCUUCACAGAUGUCAGGUUGGAACCUAUGAUGUCAUGAUCUCCACCAGCGCCUGGUACCAGAGCAGGAUCAGGAGGGUGAAGACAUGAGGACAUUUGUAAUUACCUGAGACAAAGUUGCUUUCCAUCAUUCGCAAGCAAUAACAGCAUGGUUUGAAGUCCACCCAAGACUGGUAAGUCUCUUCCUUCCACCCUAUUCACCUUUCCUCAACCCCAUAGAGGAGUUCUUUUCUGCAUGGAGGUGGAAGGUUUAUGACCAUCAGCCACAUGACCAGAUGUCCCUCCUUGAAGCCAUGGAUGCUGGCUGCAGGGACAUCACAGUUCAAGAUUGCCAAGGGUGGAUCCGACAUACCAAGCGAUUUUAUCCCAGGUGCAUCGCCUUGGAUGAUAUCAGAUGUGAUGUUGACGAAAACAUGUGGCCUAACCCUGAAGAUCGCAGGGAUUAGAUACAUUACAGUAAUUUUGUGCUAUUUUUAGUCCCCCCCCCCCCCCCUUCUUAUCUGGGCUUUUCGCUGUUUUGUUUUUUGUUUAGUUU